Molecule: ribosomal RNA, 499 nt
Filed under: uncultured bacterium
Lineage: Bacteria
Description: partial 16S ribosomal RNA
Rfam family: Bacterial small subunit ribosomal RNA
Source: RNAcentral
GACGAACGCUGGCGGCGUGCCUAAUACAUGCAAGUCGAGCGGACUGAAUGGGAGCUUGCUCUUGUUCGGUCAGCGGCGGACGGGUGAGUAACACGUGGGCAACCUGCCCGCAAGACCGGGAUAACUCCGGGAAACCGGAGCUAAUACCGGAUAACACCGAAGACCGCAUGGUCUUUGGUUGAAAGGCGGCGCAAGCUGCCACUUGCGGAUGGGCCCGCGGCGCAUUAGCUAGUUGGUGAGGUAACGGCUCACCAAGGCGACGAUGCGUAGCCGGCCUGAGAGGGUGACCGGCCACACUGGGACUGAGACACGGCCCAGACUCCUACGGGAGGCAGCAGUAGGGAAUCUUCCGCAAUGGGCGAAAGCCUGACGGAGCGACGCCGCGUGAGCGAAGAAGGCCGUCGGGUCGUAAAGCUCUGUUGUGAGGGACGAAGGAGCGCCGUUUGAAGAAGGCGGCGCGGUGACGGUACCUCACGAGGAAGCCCCGGCUAACUACGUG